UCUUUCUUCAGCCAGGCCUCCAGCACCGCUAACAAUAACAGCAAUAAAACAGGUACAAAAACUGGAGCUGAGAUCCCUGAUACACGACAUGCAAGCGUAAAUUGAAUAAACAUCUUUAAAUCAAAGAAAAAUAUAAUACUUGUAGAAUAUAACUAUGUAUUAAAUCUUUAGUUGUAAUAAAACAGUUAUCGGUCCAUUUUUA
Molecule: long non-coding RNA, 202 nt
Organism: Melitaea cinxia (Glanville fritillary)
Lineage: Eukaryota; Metazoa; Arthropoda; Insecta; Lepidoptera; Nymphalidae
Exons: 2
Source: RefSeq, a predicted model, not a curated record